This is a long non-coding RNA of Mobula hypostoma (lesser devil ray), 1756 nucleotides long. RefSeq lists it as uncharacterized. Lineage: Eukaryota; Metazoa; Chordata; Chondrichthyes; Myliobatiformes; Myliobatidae. The record is from RefSeq and is a predicted model, not a curated record. The transcript is spliced from 5 exons.
UGAGGCUAACAGGGCACAGAGAUUAGGGGAUUAAGAUGAUACAGGGUAUAUUUACUGAGCAGAAAGGUCAUGAAAGAACCAUGUGACUGUAAUCUGGUAACAGUCAGUAUUCUGUAAAGUUCUGAUCACCACACUACAGCAUUAGGGAGAAUGCAGAGGAGAUGAUGACGGACAUUUCCAGGGAUAGAGAAUUACAGUUACAAGGGAAGACGAGAUCCUUGAAAUAAGGUGAAUGAAAGCAUCAACUUCCUCUUGUUAGAGGGGUCAAUAAACAUCACAGAUUUAAGUGACAGGAGAAUUAGAGGGGGGGUUUAGGAAAAAGUGAUUUGCUGAACUGAAAAGCAGGGCCUGGAUCUCACUGCCUUAAAGGAGGACAAACGAAGAAGUGUUUGGCUGAGUGGUGUAAAGAGCUGUGAAGACACACGAGACUGCAGAUCUGCACCAAAAAAAAACAAACUACUGGAGGGACUCAGUUCAGGGAGGAUCAGUGGAGUGAAGUGGACAGUCGAUGUUUCAGGUUGAAUCCCGAGAUCAGACUUAAAGAGCUGCAACCUAUAAUGCCGCAGAAUGAGAGUUAGAAAUUGGAAAUAAUUCGCCCACUCCAGAUUCAGAAGGUAAAGGAUCAUCGAAAGCAAUAGCCUGUAACGUCCCCCUGGACUUGGGGGCAAUUCGAUGCAGCAGAAACGAGUUAUGAAGAGACAGUGGGCCCAUCGGCAAGAGUGAGGAAGACCCCAGGUUCCAUCGAUUUAAACGCCGGGCCAAAUUGGAAAGGUCAGGUACAGGUCAAAUCAAGGGGGCAGAGUCCAGGCCCCAGAGUAUAUCAAAGAUACCGAACUUGAUGUUUGGAUGACAAUUUAUGCACUGGGCCAGAUUCAAAAGGAAUCAGAUGGCAGAAGAGAAGAAGCUGUUCCUGAAUCGCUGAGUAUGCGCCUUCGGGCUUCUGUACCUCCUACAAUGAGAAAAGGGCAUGCCUCGGGUGCUGGGGGUCCUUAAUAACGGAUGCUGUCUUUCUGAAACACCGCUCCUUGAAGAUGCCCUGGGAAAUUUAUAAGCUGGUACCCAAGAUGGAGCAGACUAAAUUUAUGACCCUCUGCAGCUUCUUUCGGCCCUGUGCAAUAGCCAUGAACAAAGAAACCCCAUGGAAACCAGAAGAAAUCUCCAUAUGCUGGAAAUCCAAGCAACACACAUAAAAUGCUGGAGGAACUCAGCAGGCCAGGCAGCAUCUAUGGAAAAGAGCAAGCAGUCAACGUUUCAGGCUGAGACCCUUCAUCAAAACCAUGGAAGUUCUUUUGAAGACCCUGACCUGGAGUUAAACACUGACUUCGGUUCUUUGCGGAAAUGGGACCCAUUCACAGAGCCUCGCGACCGGCCGCUUUUCAAUAUGCCAAGGAUGCGGCCUGGAAGACUAACGUGCCUUCAGUGUGCCGUAUUUUCGUGGCCCUGAAGGCGGGCAGGUUCAAAGUUGGUGCCACUAACUGAUGUGUCGUGGGAGUACACGGAAGAUCAUAAGCAGCGAGCUGGCUGCUGGCUGUGUGCCCAGAGACCCGGGUUCUUUGGGCACAGAGCUCGGAAAAAGCAACGCAACAGACUUUUAACACCAUAAAUCAGCGAGUUGUUUUGUUAUGUCUCCCCUCUCGCUGUGAAAUGGGGACACCUCUUUUUCCCUUAUUAAGGAGGGAGAGUGCCUGUGGUAUGUCGAAUUACUGGGUGAAUAAGUACUCUUUGGGGUACUGCAACUCUGUGUCUUUACUGAUGA